RNAcentral lists this transfer RNA (62 nucleotides) under Pielomastax zhengi. Its description in RNAcentral is "tRNA-Arg". Lineage: Eukaryota; Metazoa; Arthropoda; Insecta; Orthoptera; Episactidae. The record is from RNAcentral.
AAGUAGGAAGCAAUAUUUUGCAAUCAGUUUCGACCUGAAAGUUAGGUUAAAACCCCUAUUUA